Kogia breviceps (pygmy sperm whale) is the source of this 3383-nucleotide non-coding RNA. NCBI's taxonomy places the organism in Eukaryota, Metazoa, Chordata, Mammalia, Artiodactyla, Physeteridae. The record is from RefSeq and is a predicted model, not a curated record.
GGGUCUUUGCUGCUGCACACGGGCUUUCUCUAGCUGCGGUGAGCGGGGACUACUCUUCAUUGUGGUGCACGGGCUUCUCAUUGCGGUGGCUUCUCUUGUUGCGGAGCAUGAGCUCUAGGCACACGGGCUUCAGUAGUUGUGGCAUGCGGGCUCAGUAGUUGUGCACAGGCUUAGUUGCUCCGUGGCAUGUGGGAUCUUCCCAGACCAGGGCUCGAACCCAUGUCCCCUGAUUAGCAGGCAGAUUCUUAACCACUGCACCAUAUAAUAUAAUGGAGGGAAGCCCUCCAUUAUAUUUCAAUGACAGAAAAGAAUUAAUGUUACUUUUUCUCAUUUGCUUGAGCAUGUCUGAAAUUCAUACCCUCUCUUUUCUACUGAAAAGAAAACAAAGCUGAUCACUCCUCACUGCUUAGGGAGUGGCCAUCCCAGCACCCCAGCUCCUUUGGUGACUGUACUCCAUCUUUCCCUUUGGCAAGCUGCCCCUCCUCCAUUUCAUUUUUUUUUUUUUUUUUUUUAAUUUUGGCCUCGCUGCACGGCACGCAGGAUCUUAGUUCCCCGACCAGGGAUCGAACCCACACCCCCUGCAGUGGAAGUGCGGAGCCUUAACCACUGGAAAGCCAGGGAAUUCCCACCCCUCCUCCAUUAUGUCAGCACCUGGAGGUCCUUUCAGUCAGGGUGCCUGGCCUGUGUCCAGGGUUGGACGUGUGAGCCACCCAGGCCAGCUAGACCUUCUCCCCUAGAACCCACUGGCACAGAACUGAAAGCCACUGGGCCUACAUCGUUCCAGUGGCCCAGGAGAGACCACUCAAGGGUUCCUGCUACCAAGGUCCCUGGAUCUUCUUGGGCUCCUCUUCUGCACUGCAAAGGAGGGCAGUACUUUGGAGUCGGCCAGCACCUUCCCACACUCUCCUUUCCCUUAAUUUAGCCAGAAUUGGUUUCUAUUGUCUGUCACCAAAGAGCCCUGACUGACAUGUGACACGGCCUGUUCAGGCAGACACUCAGUGGUGUCCUUUAUAUUUUUCAGUGCGGAGGUCACAUGGUUGGGCCAUGUGUUGGCCUGGGCACCUACAGUUCUUGCCAAAAGGGUCACUUGAGCGAGGAACACUGAUUUAUCUGAAUAGCAAUCUGUCAACAACCCCUUGGAGGAAACCAAACCCCCUGGUCCACUGCCUUGGGCCACAUACUUUCCUCUCCCAACCAGGGAAGUCUCAGCUCCCCAUCUCUCAGUGGCUCUCUUCCUCUUUGUAAUUCCAGACCUCAGUCUAGCCUGGGACUUCUUCCCACCGAAGCCACCAGGGACACCGAGUACAGUGCCGUGCUCAUCCUAGAUCUUCAUUACAACUCUUCGAGCUCUCUCUGGAGGGCAUCCCGCUCUGCUGCAAGUUUCUGUAACCAGAGGGCACGGUCACGGGCUGCAGGGCUGAGUGGGACUCGGCCACGGCUGAGCCCUCGCUCUCACUCGCUGGUGAGACCAGAGCUGGGAGGGGACUUGUUGAGGUCACAGAGCAAGUCAGUGGAGCCGGAGCCCUGACUCCCAGCCUCGGCCUCCCGGGGUGUCAGGCAGCCCAAGCACAUGAUGGACGUGACCCAGAUGGAUGACAGCCCGAGAACACAGGGGCCAGACUCGGACACAAGAGGAAACCCACUGGCCAACGCUGGGUGUGUCCUCCCGAGGACCCUCAAUCCCUGCCUGAGAGGCAAAAAGAGAAAAGCCAUGCUUCAGUGGACAGCGCCAAGCCUAGGGUUCAAAGUGAAGUGCCUCAUUCCACUAAGAGCUAGUUUCAGGUCCAGCAUCUCCAAAACAGCCAGAAUGGGGCCACCCGACGUUCAUGAAAUGGGCUCUGGGUGAGGAACCAGUCAGGCAGCUCAAGGUGGAUGGAUAGGACGUGAGGAACUGGCACAGAGGUGACCCCAAACCCCAGAGCCUCCAAGUCCUCACAGGGGUGGUCGUGGUCUCCUGGCCCCAGGCGCCCCGACCUUCUUCCAGGCACACAUUACCUCCCAGCUUUCCUGUUUUUCCCUCUCCAGGUUGUGGAUCCUCAGCAGAUUUUUCUCCUGUGCCGACAGCUUCCUUGGAUUGGGAUAGACAGACAGCUCAUCACUGGCUGUUUCUACCGACCGGUUCUGGGUCUGUCCCAGCUGUUUCUCAAGUUCUCGAACCUGAGGGUGGUUCCACAACAGGUCUGCAGUCAGACUCGACUCUCACAGGGGCCGCCCUGUGAUGUGACAGGACACCCCACUAGACAGACGACAACACGGUUCCAGAUGGACGUGGAGGUCCCUCAUCUGUGAAGAGGCCUGUGAGUACACACUGCAUAAUGUUGUUAAUGAGAAUUCAGUACCCUGAACUUGUCUGAGCCUGGGAAUCCCCAAGACGCUUCUUGGGAUGACAAAUCUUGGGGUCCACUCCAUACCAACAAGUCAGAGCUCCAGGGGAAGAACUCGGGGAUCUGCACUUUAAACAGGUGCUACAGGUGAGGAGACUGCGACACAGAGAGAUGAAGAGAUUUGCCCAAAGACACCAAACUUAUAGACCAGUGACUGAGGCCAGACUCAAACUCAGGUCUCCUGAACCACAAGGCCACACAUUGGUCGUUAACCACAGUUUUUCAGAGACCUCUCCCCCUUCAUGUUGGCUUCAGGGAUCCCACAGGAGACCCUGAGGGUGAAAGCCACCUGGGAACCUGGGGAUGAAGGCAAUGUACUUGGCAAAUAGUGGAAACGACACACCGAUUUGUGCGACUCUUGGUUUCUUGGUACAGCUAACCUUCGGACGGUGUUUCCUCCAUGCCAGGCACUGUGGUAAGCAAUUUACGCAUCUGUACUCAUUCAGUCCUCCCAACAACACUGUGGAGUAGGCACUGUCAUUAUCCACAGUACACAGAGGAGGAAACUGAGGCACAGAGAGGCGAAGCAACUUGCCCAAGGCCACACGGUGGGUGGUGGGCUGAGAUAUGAAGCCAAGCAGUCUGGCUGCGGAGCCCCUGUUCCUAGCCUCUAGAGAUGCUGCAAAAUAUUUAGAGCAUAAAGAGGGAGACAGGCUAAGUUUUUUUUUGGGGGGGGUUGGUAAUUAAAACCUUCAAAAGCCUACAGGCAUCUGGACAAAAGUGGAAAAAGCCUACAAGUACAACAGUCACGCAAAUUUACAUGAACUAGGGAAAAAAAAUGUGCCUGGAGUAAAAUAAAUCAAAGGCUCUGGCAUUUGUUGAGCGCCAGUGCCUGGUAUGUAGUGUUAUAUAAAUGCUUGUUCACUUAAUAACAAAUGAAAAUCAGGCUGGCUGGGGAGAACGCAAAACAACAGCCCUGCAAGUGCGCUCUGCAGAACCUAAAGGCCAUUUUUGGGUCUGUGUCUCUAAUGUGGGUCAGCGUGGGUCUCUCUAGGGUAU